Molecule: transfer RNA, 62 nt
Filed under: Caligus rogercresseyi
Lineage: Eukaryota; Metazoa; Arthropoda; Copepoda; Siphonostomatoida; Caligidae
Description: tRNA-Leu
Source: RNAcentral
UUUGGUGUGGCAGAGAGAGUGCACUGGCUUUAAGCGCCAAACAUGGGAAACCCCCACCAAAU